Trichomycterus rosablanca is the source of this 3056-nucleotide RNA transcript. It is a transcript of the gene named interferon alpha-inducible protein 27-like protein 2A, with no coding region annotated. The transcript is spliced from 4 exons. The record is from RefSeq and is a predicted model, not a curated record. Lineage: Eukaryota; Metazoa; Chordata; Actinopteri; Siluriformes; Trichomycteridae.
AGCACCAAACUGUUGCUGGAACAUUAGCUGGCGAGGAUUAUAUAAAUGAGGAAUUAUCAAAUUAUCCUCCUUCCAAAGAGCUUAAAGUGUAACAAAAUAUGUAACAAAAUAAAUGUCCUUUCAUAAUACAAUACCUAUCAUAUGUUUUGUCAUCCAACCUGUUCCUCCAGCAAUUAAUAGAAGGGCUUAGGUGUGUACAGGAAUGUAUGUACAGUAUAUUUACCAGCUGCCUAGCAUAUGAUCUAACCAAUGAUUUAAUCUAAUCAGUAUUAAAAAUUCUACAUUCUUUAUUAGACUAAGCCACAGGCAUUAUAAUAAAUGAGUUAGAAAACAGAACCCAAUUAAAUAUAAAUCACUGUAGAGAUCUCAGACAAUUUUCUAAUGUUUUUAAUAAUGUCUCUUCAAAUUAGCCAACAAAAACCCAGAUUGCCUUAAAAUAAAAUGGCAUUAUAUGGAUUGUCAAAUGUUAAUAACCACAAUGAAUUGGCUGCUGGGACAAAAGUCACUGUUCACAGUUAAUCAAGCCAUGAGUUUGGAAGCGGCACAAUACAAUGCUAAAUACAAUGGUUAUUGUCUAGUCAUAGUACAGUAGAACACACUCUCGAUUCACAGUCAGUGUUUCGUUUCUGACCAUGGUUGAAAAUUUCAUUUCUACUGAAGAGCUUUACCCUUUACCUCUAGUAGAAUCACCUGUUACUGACGUUGGGCAGAGUGGGUAAAUAGAUUAUUGACAUAGUUGUGUAUCCUAGCAUCGUAAUGAAAGUGGGAACGCCCAGCUGCAUCUAAAAGUCUAAAGUGUAAAAGAAAUUUGAGAUGACCUUUAUUAACCCAUACAGUUUCUAUAAAGCAGCAGUUCCACUGGCCUUAAAAUGGUCUCGGAGCAUUAUCGCACCACAAAUACAGGGUACAGUGUUGCUGGAAUUAAAUACCUCACCUUUUUUCCUCAUAUAUAUAUAUAUAUAUAUAUAUAUAUAUAUAUAUAUAUAUAUAGUUAAAGAUUCAAGAGAAUUAAUAAAUCACAGAUUACUCUUUUUACUGCAUUUUACACAACGUCCCAACUUUCUUGGAAAUGAGGUAGUGUUAGAAUCAUGUGAUAUUUAUCACUGUCUCACUGUUGUAUUAUUGUCUGUAACACAGUAGGUUUUUUAUUUUGUCUUGUUGGUGUCCUGAGAGCCAAAAAACACAUUUUGGAAGUCAAGUAGAAUGGUUCGGCUCAUGUAUUGAAUGGUACUGUAGCUGCUUUGUCAGGGUUGUCAUGAGUGAAUAAUUUACCUGUAAACCUUGGACCGGGUACUAAUAGUGUAAAUAAAAGCCGGGUUCAGAUGUAUGUCUGAGUUGAAUCAAAUCUCUAUAAGAGUAUUUUGCAUAAAACCAUGUAACAUUAAUUCCCUAAAAUUCCAAUCAAGCACGGGUUAAUUAUUUACCUGAAUUAACUUACCAAUAAAAUCUGAUCAAUUAUCAGCUUUUAUGAUUUGUUUUCUCAUUCUGAAGAAGGCUGAAAGUUUAAUUUCCACCGAACAGCACCUCCCUUCAGUUGCUCUCUUAAAUAGACCGAUCAGUUCUUCAGGUUGUUACAUUGGCAGCAGGAAUCGCCGGAGCGGCUGGUGCAGUAGCAGUAGCACCAGUCGCAGUUGCAGCACUGGGUUUUACCUCUUUUGGAAUCGCAGCAGGAUCCAUUGCUUCAUCGAUGAUGUCCACUGCAGCCGUUGCUAACGGCGGUGGCGUGGUAGCUGGAGGUGUUGUUGCCACCCUGCAGUCUGUUGGGGUGGUUGGCCUUUCUACUGCUGGCACUGCUGCGGUCGCAUCUGCAGGAGCCGCCAUCGGUACAGCUGCUAAAUGUGUAGCAGCAGCAUUACUGUUUUUCUGACUUAAAUAACGUUUUCCUGAAAAGAAAAACAACAAAGCUGGUUUUAAUCUACAUUAAUGAAACAUUUAAUUUACCUUAUACUGUGUUCAUUUAUAAAAGAAAAUGAAUAUGCACAAUCAUUGUGAGAUAGUUGUUUUAUUUCAGCAGCAUGUCCCAUCCUAAAGAUUUUGUUUAUCCCAAAGCAGGACUUUUAGAAUUCUCUAUAAUUACUUCUAAGACCCUAAGAUUACUUGCAGCAAUGGAAUAUUAUUCUCAAAACUCAGUGUCUAGGAAUUGUUUCAGUAACUCACAUGUGGUUAACUGACAUGUAGAGGGGAUUACUGAAGAUUUUUAUGGAUUUGUUGAAGUUGUUAUUUGAGACAUUUUCAUUACUGCAUUGGAAAAUAGCCCACAUAGUGAGCUAAGUGGUUAUGGGUUGGUUGAAAUUUAGAACCCUGAAAAUAGGGUCACUGGCCAAUAAGAUUGAGAUGAUAAAACAUUAGAUUAUAGAACUAAAACUUUCUGGAUUAAUCUUGUGUAUUCAAAGCUCUUAUCAUCCUAUUAAGCAUACAAAUAAUGAUUUGUGGUCAUUUAUAUUUUUAUUAUUUCUUAAUUAAUAAAAACAGAUUUCAAAUUGUUAUUGUAUGUUUUUGCUUAUAGUUUUGUCUGUCACUGGUGUUACACAAAAUUUGGAUGCCUAAACAAUGAAAAAAAAUGAUUUAAUCUGUCAGUGUACACUAAAUAUUCAGGAUUGAUUCACAUUUGAUGGAAGCCUAAUUAAUCAUGAUCAAUUGACUAUAACUGUAAAAAUUUAAAGUUAUGCACAUUUUAUUGCAAGCAAAUGUUGACCAAUAAAAAAUCAAAUAAAAUUAUGAUAAAAUUAUUACAUUUAAAUUAUCUUUAGAAAGCCAGCAAAUGUCUUUAUAGAGUUGUUAAGAGUUACUCGUCUUUUAGCCAAUUAUUUAAACUGACAAGUCUGUUGACAUUAUCUGGCAAACGUGACAAUCUUUUCCUGUCGAGUAUGAAACCUGCCACUGGAAACAAAUGCUCACAGGGUACUACAAUGAACCAGCUUAUUAAUUGUUGCUCAUGGGUCUUUGUCAUGUGUGUUUAGUGCCUGUGAUGUAACUGAUGCGCCGAUAAUUGUUCAUUUUUUGUCUGUGUUUAUUAACAAGUACAAAUAAAGGACAUAUAUUGAAAUUUUACAUAA